Molecule: ribosomal RNA, 484 nt
Filed under: uncultured bacterium
Lineage: Bacteria
Description: partial 16S ribosomal RNA
Rfam family: Bacterial small subunit ribosomal RNA
Source: RNAcentral
AUUGAACGCUGGCGGCAUGCUUUACACAUGCAAGUCGAACGGCAGCGCGGGCUUCGGCCUGGCGGCGAGUGGCGAACGGGUGAGUAAUGCAUCGGAACGUGCCCAGUAGUGGGGUAUAGCCCGUCGAAAGCCGGAUUAAUACCGCAUACGACCUGAGGGUGAAAGCUGGGGACCGAAAGGCCUCGCGCUAUUGGAGCGGCCGAUGUCGGAUUAGCUAGUUGGUGGGGUAAAGGCUUACCAAGGCGACGAUCCGUAGCUGGUCUGAGAGGACGACCAGCCACAUGGGGACGGAGACACGGCCCAGACUCCUACGGGAGGCAGCAGUGGGGAAUUUUGGACAAUGGGGGCAAACCUGAUCCAGCCGUGCCGCGUGCGGGAAGACGGCCUUCGGGUUGUAAACCGCUUUUGUUCGGGAAGAAAUCCUCUGGGCUAAUACCCCGGGGGGAUGACGGUAACGGAAGAAUAAGCACCGGCUAACUACGUG